Molecule: ribosomal RNA, 479 nt
Filed under: Blastocystis sp.
Lineage: Eukaryota; Bigyra; Opalinata; Blastocystidae
Description: SSU rRNA
Rfam family: Eukaryotic small subunit ribosomal RNA
Source: RNAcentral
GAGGUAGUGCAAUAAAUCACAAUGCGGGACUAUCAGUCUUGCAAUUGGAUUGAGAACAAUGUACAACUCUUAUCGAUAAGCCAUUGGAGGGCAAGUCUGGUGCCAGCAGCCGCGGUAAUUCCAGCUCCAAUAGCGUAUAUUAACGUUGUUGCAGUUAAAAAGCUCGUAGUUGAAGUGUGGGUGAUCGCUGUUGUGAGACUUCGGUCUCUCGACAGUAAGUCACCCCCUUCCAGUAUCCAGUAGUGGGUAUUCACUUACUUACUACUGUGUGUUGGUCGUUUACUGUGAGAAAAUUAGAGUGUUCAAAGCAGGCGUUUGCUUGAAUAGAUUAGCAUGGAAUAAUAAUUGAAGGCUUUCGUGUUCGAUUUGAUUGGUUUGUUCAUGGAAGCAAGGUUAAAAGGAACAGUUGGGGGUAUUCAUAUUCACUAGUUAGAGGUGAAAUUCUCGGAUUUAUGGAAGAUGAACAAGGGCGAAAGCAA